Molecule: long non-coding RNA, 1172 nt
Filed under: Mus musculus (house mouse)
Lineage: Eukaryota; Metazoa; Chordata; Mammalia; Rodentia; Muridae
Description: long non-coding RNA chr1:90282682-90283854
Source: RNAcentral
CAUUCAAACAUCUUUAUGGGUGGGAAGAAGCUCAUGACAUUUCCAGUCAAAAAGCCAGAUAAGCGAAUUCAUCUACUCAAACUGUGGCCACUGUCCACCUGGGAGUAGUAAAGAAACGUUCGCGUCUAUUUACGUGUGGCUAUGCAUCUUUCUUUUGCUCUGGGAUGUUUUGUACAUUGUCUCGAUGAGGAUUAAUUACGCACCCAAACAAACAAACAUAGAAAGGGGCGGGUGUGGACAAGAGUAGGGAUCUGACAUAUAGCAGUUGAUUUCCCAUGGGCAAAGGAAAUGGGCUCUGAAGUCACUGUGUGGGGCUUUGACCAAAUGGAAUAGUUUAUAAAAGCUAUAGUAGCAACCGUGUUUAUUUUCUCUGCGCAGGCCCUUGUUGACAGCUUUCACUGUUCAGACGGUGAUCACAGGCGGAUUGCUUGUGGGCCUCCGUUCCUGAUUCCUGAGGUGAGCUGGCAAUCUUCAGAAAUACCGAGGCGUGUGUAAACAAGGUUAUUGGUGACUGCAGGGUGAGACCGCCUACAACGCCCCCAAACACGCCUCAGUGCAGAAUGUACUUGCAGAAAUUUGGCUGGCAGUUCAGAUCAUUCAGACACCAUCCUUGAAGCUUCAUUACCAGGGUAGAUGUGCAUCAAAGACCCCGACUGAGGACACAUCAGUGGACUCACCCAGUGGGAAUUAUCUCCUCCCCAAAGCUUCCAGUCCAGGGCUGGCUGCUCCGAGCUGGGCCAAUCAAUUUAUCUCCUGAUGCAUGUCAUUAUCCUUUUGCAUGUCUGUGCCAGAAAGUUUUGUAAAUGUGAACCUGGCGAAGCGGAAUCCUUUGCAAAGGAGAGUUGCAGGGAGCAACAAGGUCAAUGUCAGGGAGGCAGAGGGUCGGUGACCACAUGCUAAGAAGGGGUGGGGAGAGGUCCUCAGCUUUGCUGAAUGCUCUGCCAGGGAGUAGCCCUUUGCCAUUGAGACUCCCUGUUGAGACUUCUGGGAUUCUGUUACAGGCAACUGAGUGAUUUAACAACCAGGACAAAUAUACUGUGCUUGGAACGGAAAAAACCCCGACUUCUACAUUUGGAUUCUCAGAGCCGUGCUAACCAGAUGUAAAAUGCAGGGAGAGGCACCAUGGUGAUUGAGUUUUCAUCUUUGAAACACAACAGCAUGCCAAUCUUCUA